GGAAUUCAUUCCAGGUUAUUUUUGGGGAGAUUUUCCCAAAUUUCCCCCCCUUGAGCACCCAUAGGGAGCAACGAAGGGAAGGAAAAACGGAGCCAAAAACGCCAAAAAAAAAGCGCAAAAAAUCGGGAUUUUUUCGGGGAAGGGGAAAAGGAAAAAAAAUUCCUAAAAAAAAAAGCGGGAAAGGGUGGGGGAAUUUGGGAAUUCAGGAGAGCUGGUGGGGAGCCUCGAGCAUCUCCAUGAGGAAGGUGUCGAUGGGGGUGUCCCCGAUGAGUUUGAAGAAGAAAAGAUGCUCCAGGCACUUGAGGCCGAUGGAGCGCAGCGCCGGCAGCCGCAGCAGCAGCUUGGCGAACCUGCGGGAAAAAACAUGGAAUUUCUUGGGAAUUCUGCAUUUUCCGGGGUUUUUUAUCACUUUGCCACUUUUUUCCCAUUUUUCCCCCGAUUUUUCCCUAUUUUUCCCUAUUUUUUUCCCAUUUUUUUCUAUUGUUUCCUCAUUUUUUUCCCAUUUUUCCCUAUUUUUUCCCAUUUUUUUUUAUUUUUUUCCAUUUUUUCCCAUUUUUUUCCAUUUUUUCCCUAUUUUUUUCCCAUUUUUUCCUCAUUUUUUUCCCAUUUUUUUCCCAUUUUUUCCUCAUUUUUUCUCAUUUAUUCCUCAUUUUUUCUCAUUUUUUUCCCCAUUUAUUCCUCAUUUUUUCCCCAUUUUUUCCCCAUUUAUUCCUCAUUUUUUUUCCCAUUUUUUCCCCAUUUUCUCCCUUUUAUUCCCUAUUUUUUUCCCUUUUUUUUUCUAUUUUUUCCCCAUUUUUCCUCAUUUUUUCCCACUUUUUUCUGAUUUUUUCCUCAUUUUUUCCCAUUUUUUUCCCCAUUUUUUCCUCAUUUUUUCCCAUUUUUCCCCACUUUUUUCCCCACUUUUCCCCAUUUUUUUCCCCAUUUAUUCCUUUUUUUUCCCAUUUUUUCCCCAUUUUUUCCCUUUUUUCUCCCUUUUUUCCCCUAUUUUUUUCCCAUUUUUUUUCUAUUUUUCCCCCAUUUUUCCUCAUUUUUCCCACUUUUUUCUGAUUUUUUCCUCAUUUUUUCCUCAUUUUUCCCCCAUUUUUUCCCCAUUUUUUUCCUCAUCUUUCCCCCAUUUUUUCCCCAUUUUUUCCCCAUUUUUUUCCUCAUUUUUCCCCAAAUUUUCCCCAUUUUUUCCCUU
RNAcentral lists this long non-coding RNA (1180 nucleotides) under Cyanistes caeruleus (blue tit). RNAcentral's name for it is "lncRNA (ENSCCEG00000003533.1)". The record is from RNAcentral. Lineage: Eukaryota; Metazoa; Chordata; Aves; Passeriformes; Paridae.